RNAcentral lists this transfer RNA (73 nucleotides) under Streptomyces asoensis. Its description in RNAcentral is "tRNA-Val". The record is from RNAcentral. Lineage: Bacteria; Bacillati; Actinomycetota; Actinomycetes; Kitasatosporales; Streptomycetaceae.
CAGGGCGGCGGCGAGGGUGGUCGCGGGGACCUCACGGGUCUCCCCCGCCGGGUGGGCGCCGGCCCGCUCGGGC